UAGGGAAUCUUCCGCAAUGGACGCAAGUCUGACGGAGCAACGCCGCGUGAGUGAAGAAGGAUUUCGGUUCGUAAAACUCUGUUGUUAGAGAAGAACAGCGCAUAGAGUAACUGUUAUGCGUGUGACGGUAUCUAACAAGAAAGCCACGGCUAACUACGUGCCAGCAGCCGCGGUAAUACGUAGGUGGCAAGCGUUGUCCGGAUUUAUUGGGCGUAAAGCGAGCGCAGGCGGUCAAUUAAGUCUGAUGUGAAAGCCCCCGGCUCAACCGGGGAGGGUCAUUGGAAACUGGUUGACUUGAGUGCAGAAGAGGAGAGUGGAAUUCCAUGUGUAGCGGUGAAAUGCGUAGAUAUAUGGAGGAACACCAGUGGCGAAGGCGACUCUCUGGUCUGUAACUGACGCUGAGGCUCGAAAGCGUGGGUAGCAAACAGG
RNAcentral lists this ribosomal RNA (429 nucleotides) under Bacteroidota bacterium. RNAcentral describes it as "Bacteroidetes bacterium partial 16S ribosomal RNA". It matches the Rfam family "Bacterial small subunit ribosomal RNA", at positions 355 to 776 of the family's 1533-position model. The record is from RNAcentral. Lineage: Bacteria; Pseudomonadati; Bacteroidota.